Molecule: ribosomal RNA, 253 nt
Filed under: uncultured bacterium
Lineage: Bacteria
Description: partial 16S ribosomal RNA
Rfam family: Bacterial small subunit ribosomal RNA
Source: RNAcentral
UACGUAGGGGGCUAGCGUUGUCCGGAUUUGUUGGGCGUAAAGAGCGUGUAGGCGGCCAGGUAGGUCUGCUGUGAAAACUCGAGGCUCAACCUCGAGACGUCGGCGGAAACCAUCUGGCUAGAGUCCGGAAGAGGAGAGUGGAAUUCCUGGUGUAGCGGUGAAAUGCGCAGAUAUCAGGAAGAACACCAAUGGCGAAGGCAGCUCUCUGGGACGGUACUGACGCUGAGACGCGAAAGCGUGGGGAGCGAACAGG